GUAACAAGGUUUCCGUAGGUGAACCUGCGGAAGGAUCAUUACUGAGUGAGGGCCCUCUGGGUCCAACCUCCCACCCGUGUUUAUUGUACCUUGUUGCUUCGGUGCGCCCGCCUCACGGCCGCCGGGGGGCUUCUGCCCCCGGGUCCGCGCGCACCGGAGACACCAUUGAACUCUGUCUGAAGAUUGCAGUCUGAGCAUAAACUAAAUAAGUUAAAACUUUCAACAACGGAUCUCUUGGUUCCGGCAUCGAUGAAGAACGCAGCGAAAUGCGAUAACUAAUGUGAAUUGCAGAAUUCAGUGAAUCAUCGAGUCUUUGAACGCACAUUGCGCCCCCUGGUAUUCCGGGGGGCAUGCCUGUCCGAGCGUCAUUGCUGCCCUCAAGCACGGCUUGUGUGUUGGGCUCCGUCCCCCCGGGGACGGGUCCGAAAGGCAGCGGCGGCACCGAGUCCGGUCCUCGAGCGUAUGGGGCUUUGUCACCCGCUCUGUAGGCCCGGCCGGCGCCAGCCGACAACCAAUCAUCCUUUUUCAGGUGACCUCG
RNAcentral lists this unclassified non-coding RNA (538 nucleotides) under Penicillium purpurescens. RNAcentral's name for it is "sequence contains 18S rRNA gene, ITS1, 5.8S rRNA gene, ITS2, 28S rRNA gene". The stretch from base 215 to 368 matches the Rfam family "5.8S ribosomal RNA". The record is from RNAcentral. Lineage: Eukaryota; Fungi; Ascomycota; Eurotiomycetes; Eurotiales; Aspergillaceae.